Long non-coding RNA from Oncorhynchus keta (chum salmon), 1801 nucleotides. RefSeq lists it as uncharacterized. The transcript is spliced from 4 exons. NCBI's taxonomy places the organism in Eukaryota, Metazoa, Chordata, Actinopteri, Salmoniformes, Salmonidae. The record is from RefSeq and is a predicted model, not a curated record.
UAGAGGAGGCAGGUAGCCUAGUGGUUAGAGUGUAGAGGAGGCAGGUAGCCUAGUGGUUAGAGUGUAGAGGAGGCAGGUAGCCUAGUGGUUAGAGUGUAGAGGAGGCAGGUAGCCUAGUGGUUAGAGUGUAGAGGAGGCAGGUAGCCUAGUGGUUAGAGUGUAGAGGAGGCAGGUAGUCUAGUGGUUAGAGUGUAGAGGAGGCAGGUAGUCUAGUGGUUAGAGUGUAGAGGAGGCAGGUAGUCUAGUGGUUAGAGUGUAGAGGAGGCAGGUAGUCUAGUGGUUAGAGUGUAGAGGAGGCAGGUAGUCUAGUGGUUAGAGUGUAGAGGAGGUAGGUAGCCUAGUGGUUAGAGUGUAGAGGAGGCAGGUAGUCUAGUGGUUAGAGUGUAGAGGAGGCAGGUAGACUAGUGGUUAGAGUGUAGAGGAGGCAGGUAGACUAGUGGUUAGAGUGUAGAGGAGGCAGGUAGUCUAGUGGUUAGAGUGUAGAGGAGGCAGGUAGUCUAGUGGUUAGAGUGUAGAGGAGGCAGGUAGUCUAGUGGUUAGAGUGUAGAGGAGGCAGGUAGUCUAGUGGUUAGAGUGUGGAGGAGGCAGGUAGCCUAGUGGUUAGAGUGUAGAGGAGGCAGGUAGUCUAGUGGUUAGAGUGUAGAGGAGGCAGGUAGUCUAGUGGUUAGAGUGUAGAGGAGGCAGGUAGCCUAGUGGUUAGAGGAGGCAGGUAGCCUAGUGGUUAGAGGAGGCAGGUAGCCUAGUGGUUAGAGGAGGCAGGUAGCCUAGUGGUUAGAGGAGGCAGGUAGCCUAGUGGUUAGAGGAGGCAGGUAGCCUAGUGGUUAGAGGAGGCAGGUAGCCUAGUGGUUAGAGGAGGCAGGUAGUCUAGUGGUUAGAGUGUAGAGGAGGCAGGUAGUCUAGUGGUUAGAGUGUAGAGGAGGUAGGUAGCCUAGUGGUUAGAGGAGGUAGGUUGCCUAGUGGUUAGAGGAGGCAGGUAGCCUAGUGGUUAGAGGAGGUAGGUUGCCUAGUGGUUAGAGGAGGCAGGUAGCCUAGUGGUUAGAGGAGGUAGGUUGCCUAGUGGUUAGAGGAGGCAGGUAGCCUAGUGGUUAGAGGAGGCAGGUAGCCUAGUGGUUAGAGGAGGCAGGUAGCCUAGUGGUUAGAGGAGGCAGGUAGCCUAGUGGUUAGAGGAGGCAGGUAGCCUAGUGGUUAGAGGAGGCAGGUAGCCUAGUGGUUAGAGGAGGCAGGUAGCCUAGUGGUUAGAGGAGGCAGGUAGCCUAGUGGUUAGAGGAGGCAGGUAGCCUAGUGGUUAGAGAGUUGGGCCAGUAACCGAAAGGUUUAUAGAUUGAAUCCCUGAGCUGACAAGGUAAAAAUCGUUCUGCCCCUGAACAAGGCAGUUAACCCACCGUUCCCCGGGAGGCCGUCAUUGUAAAUAAGAACGUGUUCUUUAACUGACUUGCCUAGUUAAAUAAAGGUUAAAAUAUGUUUUUUUUUCUUCAUUAAAAUCAACAGACACACCGUUCUCUGACUGUGCCAGCAUUGGGCUCAUUGGUUGGCUGCUGAGGGGGAGGAACGGCUCACAACAACGGCUGGAACGGAGUCAAUGGAACGGAGUCAAUGGAACGGAGUCAAUGGAACGGAGUCAAUGGAACGGAGUCAAUGGAACGGAGUCAAUGGAACGGAGUCAAUGGAACGGAGUCAAUGGAACGGAGUCAAUGGAAUGGAGUCAAUGGAACGGAGUCAAUGGAACGGAAUCAAUGGAACGGAGUCAAUGGAACGGAAUCAAUGGAACGGAGUCAAUGGAACGGAGUCAAUGGAACGGAGU